Molecule: unclassified non-coding RNA, 320 nt
Filed under: uncultured Glomus
Lineage: Eukaryota; Fungi; Glomeromycota; Glomeromycetes; Glomerales; Glomeraceae
Description: SSU rRNA
Rfam family: Eukaryotic small subunit ribosomal RNA
Source: RNAcentral
AGCAGCCGCGGUAAUUCCAGCUCCAAUAGCGUAUAUUAAAGUUGUUGCAGUUAAAAGCUCGUAGUUGAAUUUCGGGGUUCUACCGUUGGUCGGGCUAUCGUCUGUACUGGCGUGUAGAAUUUCUACCUUCUGGGGAACUAUCAUGUUAUUAAUUUAGCGUGGUAGGAAACCAGAACCUUUACCUUGAAAAAUUAGAGUGUUCAAAGCAGGCUUAUGUCUGAAUACAUUAGCAUGGAAUAAUAAAAUAGGACGGUGGUCCUGUUUUGUUGGUUUCUGAAUCACCGUAAUGAUUAAUAGGGAUAGUUGGGGCAUUAGUAUUC